Molecule: long non-coding RNA, 321 nt
Filed under: Carica papaya (papaya)
Lineage: Eukaryota; Viridiplantae; Streptophyta; Magnoliopsida; Brassicales; Caricaceae
Description: long non-coding RNA (CPAP_LNC007577)
Source: RNAcentral
GACAUCUACCUGAGCUCGAAGAGAUAGGAUAUAGUCCAGGGUUUCUUCAAUCAGAGAGGUUUCAUCCAUGAAUUCUCCUCCAGGUACCAGACUCUUCAAUACUUGACUUCUCUUUCUCACCAACCUUUUCGCAAUACAACUACUUGAUAGACUACUGUUACUUUUUCUUGCAGCUCUUCUCAUAGGACCAGACCUCCUCUUCAAUAUAUUCUUCUUGCUCCUGAUAACCCUGAUCUUUCUUGCCAACGCCAUUGAUGUUCCUACUGGCAAUUGCUUGGUUAGCUUUCUAGACUCGUCGUCACCCAAUACGUGCUCCACCAC